Molecule: long non-coding RNA, 641 nt
Filed under: Equus caballus (horse)
Lineage: Eukaryota; Metazoa; Chordata; Mammalia; Perissodactyla; Equidae
Description: lncRNA (ENSECAG00000048423.1)
Source: RNAcentral
AUAGCAUGUAAGCUGAGAUCAGAGCACCGGGAAGCAGCUACUGUGGGAAGAUGAGGGAAGAGUAUUGCUAGCACAGAGAACAACUAACUUAGAUGCCCUAGGGCAGGAGAAAGCCUGUUUGAGAAAUGUCAAGGCCAGCGUGAGUGGAAUGAGUUAGGGAGAGGGAGGUAGGAAAUUCCAUCAGAUACUUUACAUGGGCCAUGUCAGAGCCUCUUGGCCUCACCUGUGUCUGAGACCUUUGGCUGCUACAGUGACUGUCCAACUCCAUACGUGUGAAACCUGUUAGCCACUCACCUCAUGCUAUGUACCUCCCAUCUCCCAGCCUGGAGCUUCUCUAUUGGUACUGACCCAUGUGAUACACAGGACUGUCUCGGGCAACUGCAAGUUGAAAAAGGAAGUUAACUCCCUGAGUGAUGAACUUUUGACCAAUGGGAGAUCCAGCAGAUGAAUUCUCUUUCUUCUGAUGGACUGUCCUGAGAUGCAGUUACCUGGGCUUUUGGCAGUGACCAGUUUGGGUUUCUCAAGGCUCUGUUUCAGCUGUGAGCUGCUUUUCCUGCUGUGAGGACACUGUCUCCAAGAGUGACAUGUGUCUCAGGCACUUACACUUCUCUGCUCCUCCGCCGGCCACAUCCACACCAAAG